AUUGAACGCUGGCGGCAGGCUUAACACAUGCAAGUCGAGCGGAGCGAGGGUGCUUGCACCUUAGCUUAGCGGCGGACGGGUGAGUAAUGCUUAGGAAUCUGCCUAUUAGUGGGGGACAACAUUCCGAAAGGGAUGCUAAUACCGCAUACGCCCUACGGGGGAAAGCAGGGGAUCUUCGGACCUUGCGCUAAUAGAUGAGCCUAAGUCGGAUUAGCUAGUUGGUGGGGUAAAGGCCUACCAAGGCGACGAUCUGUAGCGGGUCUGAGAGGAUGAUCCGCCACACUGGGACUGAGACACGGCCCAGACUCCUACGGGAGGCAGCAGUGGGGAAUAUUGGACAAUGGGGGGAACCCUGAUCCAGCCAUGCCGCGUGUGUGAAGAAGGCCCUUUUGGUUGUAAAGCACUUUAAGCGAGGAGGAGGCGCUCUAGGAUAAUACCCUAG
Molecule: ribosomal RNA, 442 nt
Filed under: Acinetobacter sp. oral taxon C51
Lineage: Bacteria; Pseudomonadati; Pseudomonadota; Gammaproteobacteria; Moraxellales; Moraxellaceae
Description: bacterial SSU rRNA
Rfam family: Bacterial small subunit ribosomal RNA
Source: RNAcentral